This 265-nucleotide ribosomal RNA is filed under the name uncultured Sphingobacteriales bacterium. Its description in RNAcentral is "partial 16S ribosomal RNA". It matches the Rfam family "Bacterial small subunit ribosomal RNA", at positions 1 to 269 of the family's 1533-position model. The record is from RNAcentral. Lineage: Bacteria; Pseudomonadati; Bacteroidota; Sphingobacteriia; Sphingobacteriales.
UGACGAGUUUGAUCCUGGCUCAGAACGAACGCUGGCGGCAGGCCUAAUACAUGCAAGUCGAACGAGAUUGUUUUAGCAAUAGAACAUGAAAGUGGCGCACGGGUGCGUAACACGUAUGCAACCUACCUUACAUUGGGGGAUAGCCUUUCGAAAGGGAGAUUAAUACCGCAUAAGACAGUAACUUGGCAUCCAGCAGCUGUUAAAGAUUUAUCGAUGUAAGAUGGGCAUGCGUCCAAUUAGUUAGUUGGCGAGGUAAUGGCUCAAC